UUCUUCUUCUCUUCUGUGCAGCCUUUUUUCUCCUCCUCCUCCUCCUUCUUUCUUCUUCUUUUGCCUCCUGCCCUGAAAACUGGACUUUGGACUGCACAUUAGCUUUGGGGCUUAGCCCUGAUGGGCAGUCACGGCGUGGCCGGGCUGCAGCUCUCUGGUCACUGUGAAUUAUCUGCGGUGCAGCAAUGGAAGCCUUGAGGAGCCCACACAGUCUUUGCCCAUCCUGGUGUGGGUGGACUGGAGCUGGGCAGGUGCGGCCAGCGGGCCUGGCCAGCAGAGAAGCAGUGCCCCUGUGGUUUAUGUUUGCGGUUUUGGAGACAUGCUUUCAGGACUCUGGAGCCGGUGUCUGCUCCCUGGCAGGAGGAGCCCCUCCCUGCGGUGGCCGCCAGCUCCACCCCAUCGCCACGUGUGACACCACGUGGCAUCGGCUUCAUCCCUCCCACUGCGCAGCCCGGGGACCAGGCAGAUGCCGGCACUGGGCACGCACUGCUGGUCUCCUCGGAGUCUCUUCCUCCAGCCGGGCUUCCUGCUGGCCAACUGGCUCCAACUGUGAUCCUGGGGCCUCAGCCUCCUGAGCAGCGGGGAUUGCAGUGUGGCCCUUGGGACCCGCUCUUCAUGGGUUUCUGAGCCAUUUCUUCGGUGUUGUGUUUAUCCUGGUGGGAAAAGCAGGUGUGGUGGGGCCUUCACUCCGCAGGAGUGGCCAGGUCCCUGCCGUCCCGUGCUCUGCUCCCUCCACGUCCUCUGUCCCUGCCUGGGGUCUCCUGAGAACACCUGGACCAGACACAGACCUCCCCAGCAGCUCACAUCAGCAGUCAGUGCCGGCCUGCUCAGGGCACCCCGGGGCCUGGAUGUGGGGACAGGGAGAGCCCAGGACACCCCAGGGCCGCUCUGCAGCUAGGAGGGGAGUUGCCAUCCUGUUUCCCAAGUUCGGGGGCCACAGAUUGCCCUGGACGCCCCAAGACGCUGCCCCCCAGAUUGCCCUGGACGCCCCAAGACGCUGCCCCCCACUCCUGCCCUGCACACAGAGCACCUGGACCCCUGCUGGCUUCAGGUGGCUGUGGACAUCUGAGCCUUUGUGGGGUGACAGCUAGUGUUGGGGGGGAGGGGCCCUUGCCUGAUUGGGGCCUGGCUUGUUUCUGGGGACCCCCUCAAAGUGUCAAUGUGUUCAGUUCCCCUCUGGGAAAAGACCUCCCUGUUGAAGGUGCCUUGUCCCCAACCCAGGGCCCGGCCCCUCACCCCCAAAACUGCCAGUGCCUUGUCUGGGAGCCCUGGGCCCCAGACACCCGGGGACCCAGCCAUGGGGACCCCCAAACCUGACUCGAAAGCAAUAAAACGUUGGGUGGGG
Long non-coding RNA from Dipodomys ordii (Ord's kangaroo rat), 1345 nucleotides. RefSeq lists it as uncharacterized. Lineage: Eukaryota; Metazoa; Chordata; Mammalia; Rodentia; Heteromyidae. The transcript is spliced from 2 exons. The record is from RefSeq and is a predicted model, not a curated record.